This 119-nucleotide ribosomal RNA is filed under the name Carlito syrichta (Philippine tarsier). The record is from RNAcentral. Lineage: Eukaryota; Metazoa; Chordata; Mammalia; Primates; Tarsiidae.
AAGAAUGGCCAUAUCACCAUAAAUACACUCAAUCUUGUCUGAUCUUGAAAACUAAGCAGGGUCAGGCCUGGUUAGUACUUGGAUUGGAGACUGCCUGGGAAUACUGGGCGCUGUAGUGU